Molecule: long non-coding RNA, 663 nt
Organism: Oreochromis aureus
Lineage: Eukaryota; Metazoa; Chordata; Actinopteri; Cichliformes; Cichlidae
Exons: 3
Source: RefSeq, a predicted model, not a curated record
GUGUAAAGCGCUUUGGGGUCCUUACACUCUAAAAAAUAUUCGUUGUGUUUGUCGGUAGAACUUAACAAAAAACCACUUUUCUGCUAAAAAAAGUAAGUUGUCUACAUGUACACGUUUCAGUGAGUUGACUAAUCAAUGUUAAAAGUCAGUGCAACACAAAAAUUAAAAAACAGCUCCUUAACUUAAAUGUUUGAGUAUAUUGAAUAAAAUACUUUUGUCAUCAAUCAACAACAGAAAAUAUUAAGUUUGUGUAACAUGUAAAAAUGAGUUUCAACAUCCUUCCUGUUUGAAUUGAGACCGUUCAGACCGCAGAGGGCAACCCCGUAGCAUAUGUUCGUAUCGUGCACAACAGUUUCUGGAUUCUUGUGGCCUCGUGGGAGAAGAGGUGUGUUUGCCCUUGACUGUGUUCGGUGAAUUAAACAACCUUGGUGCACACUCUCUUGGAGGAUUUGUGGAGAGUUUCUCAAGUGCGUAUGUCUGCAGGUUUUGUCUUGGAGAACGGUCCCAAAUCCAAGUAUCUCAAUGUCUCAUCCUGCUAAACUUCGGAUCAUACUCAAAGACCAUAACAUUCGAAAAUUGGACUUACCACAUGGAAUCCCUGGAACAGUGGAGGAACUUGAAUCUAUUGUGAAAGACACUUUUGAGGUUGAUGGAAAGUUUACU